RNAcentral lists this ribosomal RNA (503 nucleotides) under uncultured bacterium. RNAcentral's name for it is "partial 16S ribosomal RNA". It matches the Rfam family "Bacterial small subunit ribosomal RNA", at positions 30 to 523 of the family's 1533-position model. The record is from RNAcentral.
AUUGAACGCUGGCGGCAGGCUUAACACAUGCAAGUCGAGCGGGGUGAUGGUGCUUGCACUAUCACUUAGCGGCGGACGGGUGAGUAAUGCUUAGGAAUCUGCCUAUUAGUGGGGGACAACAUCUCGAAAGGGAUGCUAAUACCGCAUACGUCCUACGGGAGAAAGCAGGGGAUCACUUGUGACCUUGCGCUAAUAGAUGAGCCUAAGUCGGAUUAGCUGGUUGGUGGGGUAAAGGCCUACCAAGGCGACGAUCUGUAGCGGGUCUGAGAGGAUGAUCCGCAACACUGGGACUGAGACACGGCCCAGACUCCUACAGGAGGCAGCAGUGGGGAAUAUGGGACAAUGGGGGGAACCCUGAUCCAGCCAUGCCGCGUGUGUGAAGAAGGCCUUAUGGUUGUAAAGCACUUUAAGCGAGGAGGAGGCUCUUUUGGUUAAUACCCAAGAUGAGUGGACGUUACUCGCAGAAUAAGCACCGGCUAACUCUGUGCCAGCCGCCGCAGUAA